Molecule: long non-coding RNA, 3743 nt
Organism: Bombus terrestris (buff-tailed bumblebee)
Lineage: Eukaryota; Metazoa; Arthropoda; Insecta; Hymenoptera; Apidae
Exons: 4
Source: RefSeq, a predicted model, not a curated record
UAUCCAGCAGCCGCGUCUCAGGAGGAUCAUUUAACCGAAAUAAUUGCCAAACAUUGUUUACCUUGUUAGCCGUUAGAAGCUAGCUCGUAAACUUGUGCGAGUUAAUAAGCAGAAGCAAGCAAGCAAGCAGCCAGCCAGGUCGGCGGAGCCAAGCAAGCUUGAGUGCGAAACCGUGUGUAAAUUAGCGUCUUCAAUUUGUAACCAUUCGCUUGACUUUACUCCGCAGUUCCGAGUGGCUUCGCGAGAGACGAGAGCCGGGAUAACGAGAUACUCGCGCAACUGAAACGCAGUGAAACAUCCGGAAAAUUAUAUAUUUUUACGCUAGAGAGAUUGAUAGAGAGAACGGAGAAUCUUUUUGUGAAAAUUGCAUCUAUAUGAGCAUACAUCCAGUAAUUAGGUCCAAGUACAUUAAAUUUCGUAUUAUGAAGUACACAAAUUAAUAAAGUGCAUAGGAAAGUUUGUUUCAUUCAAGUAGCAAACGCUGUUCAGACUAUUGUGUACGAAUCCUCGCAACAACUGUACAAAAGUCAACAGCCAUACUCCAAGAACCCAUAAAACCAAAUCAUCGUGGAAAUCCGUGCAGCAAGUGCACACCACAGUGGAUCACCCUCACUCCAAAGCUAACCUCUUCUUCUAUAUACCUGUAUCUCAUCUUUCGCUCUAUCUCUCUGUACAUGAUCGAAGAUCGUGGCAGUUGGAAGCAUGCGGAUGUCGGAGAGAAGAAAGGAGAGACAGCUAGCUAGAAUGCAGACGAAGGGAAAGCGGAAAGAGGAGAAGGAGGAACGAGAGGCUGCCGGUUCAGCUGCAUUAAUUAAACUAGCGGAGGACAAUGAGCCUGUCUGCCGGCUCGCUUGCCUCGCUGUGUAAUUCACGCCUCUCACGGGAGAGGCAACCCUUCGACUUUGCUUUCCAGUUUCAACCUUCCUAUGGAUAAUUACCUACGCCCAGAGUCUCGUCUCUCUGUGUCCCACCUUCUCUCGUUCAUUCUCUCGUUUGUAUGUUGUUUUCUUUCGUUUUUACAUCCGUGACUUUCCAGUUCUUUUGCGACACGCGUUGCGCGUGACCGAGCGUGCUAUUGCACCAUGAUGUGAACUUGUCGUCUUUGGAUAAGUUGAUUAAUUUGAAUGAAGUGAACUGAAAGCGACAUCGAGAUGUUUCGAGUUUAGCAACUGUAUUGAUGGAAAUAUUCUGAGGAGGGUUUUCGACAUUGAUGAGAAAGGGUUUGUUAAAAAAUGCGAAAAGGUUAAAUACGUGAUCUUCUUAAAUUUCUAAAUAAAUAUUUCAAUUUGUAUUAUAUCAUAAAUAAUGCAUUUCAAUUGAUGUCAUGUUCAUUAUUUAGUUAUGUACAAAAGUUUACAACUAAGCAAAUAAUUGUGAGAGUAAGACAUUGAGAAAUAGAUUAUCUGAGACAAUAAUGUUUAUUUAUUGAUUGCAAAUUUGUCCUAUAUAUGACAUUUAAAAAAGAUAAUUAAUUCCAUUAACUGGAAGGAACAUAAUAACAGUGGUACAUAGUAAGUAAAAGUCUUGGUAAGGAUGUAUAUUGACAAAUCUGUUCAAAAUUGGAUAACGAAUAAACAUACUAACAAAUAAGAAAUAGUUUAUAUAGUAAAGUAACAAAUAUUUUAUUUGGUUCCAAAUAAAUUAAUUUUAUUUGCGUAUAAAAUGCUGCAUGAAAUAUUUACGUUAUUUUAAAAAUAGAAUAAUUAUUAGAAAAAUAGAAAAUUUCUAUUCCAUAUAUAGACCGACGUUUCAGUCAGUCUCCUAGUCAGAAAUCAAGCUGAAACAGCACCUAAGUACAAGUGCAGCUAGAAAAUUAACGAAAUGCAGCUUUAAAGCACCGAAACCUCAGAAGAAGGCAACAAAUCCGCAUCAGUUUCCCUCAGCCAAGAACAUGCAGGAGGGAGGGAGAAUUUAAGCAUCUUUGGAAGGUGAACUGCAGCUGCUUACUUCAGAGUUGAGAACCACGAUCUGUUGCGCUCGUCGUCAACCAAGGUGGAGUCGGACGAAUCAAAGAGAGAAAAGACGAAGAGGAACGUAGAAGCAGAAGACGAUCCCCAGCCGCCUCUGUGUGCCCCUUGAGAAUCGGCUCGUUAGGAGGUUAGACGGAGAAGAAUGCUGCCAAACGAUCGACUGAUCCUUCUCUUUCUUGUUUCUUCUAUCUAUCUUCUUCGUGACUAUUUCGAGAAAAAGUUUCGAGGAUUUUGCGGACACUCUAACUUCUCUCUGUUUCUACUUCGCGAGAUUCCGAGAACACGGAAAGAUGGAAAUUGGUAGAAAUCCUGGUUGUGUACACCUAGUGAGUGAAAUGUAUAUCAACUUCUUAGAACACAGGGUUUAAAAAACCGAAAAGUCUCUAGUUGUACUGAAAUUUUAUUUCAAAUUUCUACCACUUUGGAGAGAAUUAUGAACACCUACUAACCAAAUUAAUACGUACUUUUUCUUGUGCAUCACGCGUGUUAGUCAUAUCAGUGGCAACACGAAACCGGUGGAACAUAUUGUAAACCGUUGUACUUCGAGAUGUGUUCAUAUUUUAAGGUAGGAUCAAAGAUAUUCUACUGUGCAUAUAUGUAAGCACCAAGAAGGCGGGAAGUUUUUUAUUUUACUAUGUCCCAAAGAAUGUUAAUACAUUCAGUGCAUAUACAAAAUGUAAACUAAAUUAACCUAAUUUAGCAAGAAAGCGAUUAAUACAAUAAAAUUUGUAUUUAACAAGAUUAUAAUUUAAUAUGCAUACAUAAGAAAAGUUUGUUGAAACUAUUUACAAGGAUUAUAAUAUAUAGUAUAGUUAAUUAUAACAAUUACAUAUUGGUUUCAAAGUUUGUUAACCUAUGUAAAUCUUAUUGAAAACAUUUACGAUAUUUGUAUGAUAUUGAUAUAACGCCUACUAAUCAAGUAGUAAUCAAGAAUAUCUUCUAAAUAUAUAAAUAGAUAAAUAAAUAUAUAUAUAUUUACAUUAUAUUUAAAUGAAGAGUUAGAAUGACCUCAAAAUCAGCUAAUCGAAUUCAUACGCUUUUCCGAUUCAGCAAUUUCUGAGGACGAACAAGUUUCAACCAACUGUCCAGGCUCGCAUGAUGUCAAUUUGUAACUGAUAUACUUAGAAUACAUUAGUAUAAUAUAUAUACAAUACAAUAGAAAUAUAUAGGUACCACCUAUGCACUAAAAAUUACCCGGAUUAAAUUUCGGAUUCGUUUGCAAACAUAUGUUUACAUGCAUGUGAAAUAGGGAUCUCUACAGAUUACAUUACAUUACUAGCUUGACAUAUUUUGUAAGAUUAGGGUUGUUGGAUUGAGAUUUCUUUGAUUUCUAAAGGAACUUGUAGACAGUAACGAUUGGUUGACAUGUUAUCAAUUGAAGAGUACAUGAUAAAUAUAUUUUUGUUGAUUUUUUAAUUUUGAUGUUGCUUGUAAUUAGUAACUAAGAUAGUUAGAAGGCAAUAUAAGCUUUUUAAAGAUAGAUAAAUCUAUGAAAUUUUGUUUAAUUAAUAAAUUUUAUCAUGUGCUUUUCAAUUGUUACUGAUUAUCAUUGGCUGACUUCACAUGUCGAUUAAUCGUUAACGUCUAAAAGUUCCAACCUGAAUAAAUUUCGAUCUGACAACUAAUAAACUAAUGUAUUUAAUGUUUAAUAUUAUCAUGUUUUUUCCCCUGCACUUUUUAAUUGUGACCGAAAAAAUUGUAAGGAGUUAGAAAUAACAAUAUAAACCAAUUGACAUUGAUUUUAGUACUUAAAAUUGAUAUACUCAACGAUAA